GACGAACGCUGGCGGCGCGCUUAACACAUGCAAGUCGAGCGAUAACCAUGGCUUCGGCCAUGGGGACAGCGGCGAACGGGUGAGUAACACGUGGGCAAUCUGCCCUCGGCACUGGGAUAGCCCGGGGAAACCCGGAUUAAUACCGGAUAGCCUCUCGAGCUCUCGGGCUCGUGAGAAAAGAUAGCUUCGGCUUUCGGCUGAGGAGGAGCCUGCGGCGGAUUAGCUUGUUGGCGGGGUAACGGCCCACCAAGGCGACGAUCCGUAGCUGGUCUGAGAGGACGAUCAGCCACACUGGGACUGAGACACGGCCCAGACUCCUACGGGAGGCAGCAGGUGGGGAAUCUUGCGCAAUGGGCGAAAGCCUGACGCAGCG
RNAcentral lists this ribosomal RNA (373 nucleotides) under uncultured bacterium. RNAcentral describes it as "bacterial SSU rRNA". It matches the Rfam family "Bacterial small subunit ribosomal RNA", at positions 28 to 393 of the family's 1533-position model. The record is from RNAcentral.